CCCCUGGAGGACUAGAGGUUAGGCCUCGGCGCUCUCACCACUGCAGCCCUGGUUCAAAUCCCAGCCAGGGAA
Molecule: non-coding RNA, 72 nt
Organism: Pangasius djambal
Lineage: Eukaryota; Metazoa; Chordata; Actinopteri; Siluriformes; Pangasiidae
Source: the annotation of a GenBank genome assembly